Canis lupus familiaris (dog) is the source of this 2370-nucleotide long non-coding RNA. RefSeq lists it as uncharacterized. NCBI's taxonomy places the organism in Eukaryota, Metazoa, Chordata, Mammalia, Carnivora, Canidae. The record is from RefSeq and is a predicted model, not a curated record. The transcript has 3 exons.
GAUCACAACCUGAGCCAAAGGCAGAUGUUCGACCACUGAGCCACCCAGGUGCCCCAAAAAGGUUAAGUACCUACCGCUGCACCUGGCACAGGGUGACUAUUGCAGGAAGACAUUCUAUUGUUCUUGAUUAUUUAGCAGCACUUCCUCAACUCAUCCUGGUAACACAAUCCAUCUUUUCCUUGAGGGACUCUUUCUAUGAUUCUAAAGCUGUCCCCUGCCCUCCAUACAAGAGCCACAAGAGUAAGCAUGUUACCCCAAGCCAGGACAAUCAGAGACUUGCCCCUUCCCCCCAAACAGGGACUGAUUCAAGAGUGGUCUCCUGGAUGCAGUCAGAGUCCUUUCUGGUGCUAUGAGGAGGUCAUGACCCAGGAGUGAUAAUUGCCCAUUUUAAGCUAAGCAGGACGAGACAGGUGGAGUUCUGAGCAAUCAUCUGACCCCGAGAUUUAGACACAUUUAAAGCCAAUUGCCCUCAUCCACUUCCCAGAUACAGGACGCAAUACAUUCCUGGUUUUAAGCUAAUUGGAGUUGAAUUUCUAGAAUUUGCAAGAGAACGAACCCUGACUAGUACACUGGAUCAAGUGGCCCUCGGUAGAAUGGGAAGGAUGAAACUAAUCAGAAGUGUUAUGAAGCUGCGUGGUAUGAGGAAGAGGGAGAAGUCAAGAGUCCUUCUGCGGUUUGGAUACCUGGUGACCAAAAACCCCCUCCAUUAUUGAAAAGGUAGUAGUUGCUAUGUUGGGUAGAAGAGAGGAAAUUACCGGUACUCCCAGGAACCCCGAGUGCUAGCCAGCUUCCAAAGAGAUUUAAAUCCAGUCCUUCCAGCAGAAGCAAAGCUUUACCCACAUGAAGCUCAGAGACAGAUCACAUGGGGCCAACAUGGCAGACUGACACCGAACCCAGCAUAGCUGCCCAGUCCCGCCAGAUAAACAUAAGGAAAGGUCAUCCAAACACAGGAAGACGGCCGUCCCCUUGCCUUUUCCUUUACCCCCUCCCCUUCCUCCCUCUGGCUCCCUCAUCCCCAGAGGGUGGACCCAGCCUUUCCCAAAGUUUAUUCUGAGAGCUCCAGGCUCCCACAGUGGAACGUGCUGCGGACAUGGGAAUACAAGAGCCUGGCCAACAGGGAAAACCAAAAAUAUAAACGGAGAGAUUUAAAAGAUUCCUCCCCUCCUCCCAAAGUUGUACCCGAAAUAUCUGCUUUUACUGUUAUUACUAAUAUUACUGCCUUUACCAUCCUUGACUUAAAUCGGCCCAUCCUGGAAGGAGACCUUCUGAAGUUUAUUGCAUUUGACAGUAAACAUUUAGCACAGAAAAAAGUUAAGCUCUUUCUUAGGACCUCAGUGCCACUGACUUGACCCACUAAACAUGCAAUAAAAUGUUGGGAAACAAAGUCCAGAAAGUCUUACGUCUCAGACACUGGCAAUGAGUUUAACAAGAAUACAAGUAAUGCUGACACUUCAGGGGAAAAAAAGGUUUCAUUUUCUUUAAAUCCACUAUUGGAAUUUUGUAAAGAGCCAAGAACCCCGAGCCAGUAAAUAGGAAGUCAUUUUAUCUUUUACUGACAUAUUCUGAUCAAAACAGUGACGAGAGCAUAGGCUUUCAUUUUUAUCCUCCACUUAGAAGAAAAAAAGUGAAUAUUACAGGAUUGUGUACUUCAAUGAUUAUAAAUCAGCAUUUGUGAUGAAAUGUUCAGUACUCAUUUCAAAACAGACACAGUGUUUAAAAGCAAAGCAUAAUGGUGACCUUUCUCAUUAGCUGUUGCUCAAACAAAGAUAUGUUCCAGCAAUAUCCGAUGCUUCCUUCCUGCCAGGGCCUCCACCCAGUGCAAUUUAAAACACUUGUGUUACAUCCAAACCAGAACUGAGGUUGUGGUGGAGUGGAGUUUCAGCAGCGUAGUGUUUAUUAUUACUUUCUAAGUUUUUUAAUGUUUUCUUUUCAUAAAUGUAUUGUCAUGAGUUGGGUUUGCAAGAUUAAAUAUGUGAGACCGUACAAAUGAAUUCAUUAUAACUUAUUUACUCUUCUAUGUCUCCAUCUAUUUUUGUGGCAAAUAGCGUCAUAGGUUCUUGACCCUGAGGACACUUAUUUCGCUGCCCUUUAGUAAAUGUUUUUAUUAAUACAUUGUAAGCCAAAAAACAAAAACAAUCAUUAAGAACUAUGCCAAAUUUAUUUUAUGUAAAAUCCAAUGAACACAAACACAAAUCUAAGGAGAGAAUGUGAGAAACAGAAAGAGAGAGAAUUAGAGACAGCUUUAGUACACAUCCUCACUUUCCUCAUGCCUGGUAUUCCUAAGUCUGGUAAUAUAUGUAGAAAAUGAUCAAAGUCAAGGUGAUUUUUCUAUGGAACAACAAAUAAGAAAGUCUUUUUUUUUUUCUGGUC